GCUCGGUGUGGUGGUGCGUGCCUGUAGUCCCACCUACUCGGGAGGCUGAGUGGGGAGGAUCGCUUGAGCCUAGGAGUUCUGGGCUGUAGUGCCCUAUGCCGAUCAGGUGUCCGCACUAAGUUCAGCAUCAAUAUGGUGACCUCCCAGCAGCGAGGAACCACCAGAUUGCCUAAGGAGAGGUGAAUUGUCCCAGCUUGGAAACAGAGCAGAUCAAAACUCCAGUGCUGAUCCGUCAUGGGAUCGUGCCUAUGAAAAGCCACUGCACUCCAGCCUGGGCAUCAUAGUGAGACCCUGUCUCAA
Molecule: unclassified non-coding RNA, 300 nt
Organism: Callithrix jacchus (white-tufted-ear marmoset)
Lineage: Eukaryota; Metazoa; Chordata; Mammalia; Primates; Cebidae
Rfam family: Metazoan signal recognition particle RNA
About the family: The signal recognition particle (SRP) is a universally conserved ribonucleoprotein.
Source: Ensembl